AGUGAACGCUGGCGGUAGGCCUAACACAUGCAAGUCGAACGGCAGCACAGGAGAGCUUGCUCUCUGGGUGGCGAGUGGCGGACGGGUGAGGAAUACAUCGGAAUCUACUCUGUCGUGGGGGAUAACGUAGGGAAACUUACGCUAAUACCGCAUACGACCUACGGGUGAAAGCAGGGGACCUUCGGGCCUUGCGCGAUUGAAUGAGCCGAUGUCGGAUUAGCUAGUUGGCGGGGUAAAGGCCCACCAAGGCGACGAUCCGUAGCUGGUCUGAGGAGAUGAUCAGCCACACUGGAACUGAGACACGGUCGAGAAUCCUACGGGAGGAAGCAGUGGGGAGUAUUGGACAAUGGGCGCAAGCCUGAUCCAGCCAUACCGCGUGGGUGAAGAAGGCCUUCGGGUUGUAAAGCCCUUUUGUUGGGAAAGAAAUCCAGCUGGCUAAUACCCGGUUGGGAUGACGGUACCCAAAGAAUAAGCACCGGCUAACUUCGUGCCAGCCGCCGCCGUAA
RNAcentral lists this ribosomal RNA (506 nucleotides) under uncultured bacterium. RNAcentral's name for it is "partial 16S ribosomal RNA". It matches the Rfam family "Bacterial small subunit ribosomal RNA", at positions 29 to 523 of the family's 1533-position model. The record is from RNAcentral.